Molecule: ribosomal RNA, 241 nt
Filed under: uncultured Prevotella sp.
Lineage: Bacteria; Pseudomonadati; Bacteroidota; Bacteroidia; Bacteroidales; Prevotellaceae
Description: partial 16S ribosomal RNA
Rfam family: Bacterial small subunit ribosomal RNA
Source: RNAcentral
GCGCACGGGUGAGUAACGCGUAUCCAACCUACCCAUUAUAGGGGGAUAACCUUGCGAAAGUAAGACUAAUACCCCAUGGUAUUUUAUGAUGGCAUCAUUAUAGGAUUAAAGAUUUAUUGGUAAUGGAUGGGGAUGCGUCUGAUUAGCUUGUUGGCGGGGUAACGGCCCACCAAGGCAACGAUCAGUAGGGGUUCUGAGAGGAAGGUCCCCCACAUUGGAACUGAGACACGGUCCAAACUCC